Molecule: ribosomal RNA, 250 nt
Filed under: uncultured bacterium
Lineage: Bacteria
Description: partial 16S ribosomal RNA
Rfam family: Bacterial small subunit ribosomal RNA
Source: RNAcentral
UACGUAGGGUGCAAGCGUUAAUCGGAAUUACUGGGCGUAAAGCGUGCGCAGGCGGUUUGCUAAGACCGAUGUGAAAUCCCCGGGCUCAACCUGGGAACUGCAUUGGUGACUGGCAGGCUAGAGUAUGGCAGAGGGGGGUAGAAUUCCACGUGUAGCAGUGAAAUGCGUAGAGAUGUGGAGGAAUACCGAUGGCGAAGGCAGCCCCCUGGGCCAAUACUGACGCUCAUGCACGAAAGCGUGGGGAGCAAAC